CACACCGUUUGACCAACCCUAGUACACGUACUUUUUUAAUAACUGUAAUUCUUCUUUCUAAGAAGGCACUAGAAUUUACUCCCGCCUUCCACAGUGCCUCUAUAUAAGGGCCGUUGCAAGAAUGAAGUAAUGAAAAAAGAGGUAUUUUUCUGUCCUUUUAAGCAAGUCCUUUUUCUCUCCUUAUUCCUUUCGUCUGGUUCACCGACCUUCUCUCAUUCUGUUAGUCGUCUUCUCUAAAUUCUUAGUCCUGCUCCAUCGCCGCAACAAGAAGAGGGACAUGCGUUCUCUCUGGAUCCAACGCAUCAAUGCUGGCACCCGCCAACAUGGUGUUAGUCUUUUUUCUUUUUAACGCAUCUUGUUGGGCAUGGAACUUUGAAAUAUUUUACCAUUCAUUGAUGUGGGAACUGGGAAGGGAGAUGAAGUGACCUAAUUGUUUGAGAAAGCUUAGCACUUUCCGGAGUAACAGGAUUUGUAGGGAUGCUGAGUUUUAUAGAAUGCAGUACUUUGCUUGGGGCAUGUCCUGUUGUGCCUUGAUGGUAGAACAUUACUUGGAAUUGGAUUAUUUGAAAAGCUUAGGAGUUUGAGAAAAUCUGGUGGAAAAUCAUCAUGCAAAUGUCAGUAGUUACACUGAUCUCUAUGGCAUGAGUUGGUUUGCAAUUAUGAAGUACUAAAGAAAACCAACAAAUGUGAAGUUUUUUUCUGAAAGAAGGGAGGGGGAGAAUCCUGGUUUCUUUUAAUCUACUUUUGCUAGAUUUUGACUUUCUUUUCUUAUAAAUAGAACAAAAACUGGGAAAAACUGAGGUAUAAUUGACUUCUUUAUCAUUUUGGAGCACAUUGUUGUAUGUUUGGGUAGUGCAACUUGAAUAUUUUCCUCAUAAUGAAACUUCUCCAUGGUGGGAUACUGACCUUUGGCAUCUUCUGCUGCUCUGUUAUCACUAUCAGUUUAAUUAUGGUAAUUUCAUGCAUGGACUGCGGAAGGAGAAUUUUCAUCUGAACAGAAAAGUCUUAUCAGAGAAAUCCAUGCACGAACCAUAUAGUUUCAAGGCCCUGGUAGACAUUUCCCGCAACACCUUUCCUGGAAACAAAAAUGUGGUGCAUCGUCCCAGGAAAGUGGACAUUUCUUCUGUUAAUGUGUAGUUCUUUAAUUGGGUACCUUGGUAAUUCGCUCUUUUUAUAGCCCUUCAGAGCUUGUCUGAAACAAAAGCUUUAAAUAGGUAGCUUUGUAUUUCCUGGGGUAGUUUAGACCUCCCUGUCUCUGGAUAUAUGGAUGAAUGAAAACAGCUAGCCAUUCUGAAGAAAUAGAAGUGAUAUCUGGCCAGUUACAUUUCAAUAUUUAAGGAUGCACAAUGAAGUGAAGAAACAUGAGAAAUUCUUCAAUUUUCAAAAUGAAGAAUAAUUUUACUUUCAUGAGAAAGAAACUAAUCAUCUUAGAAAUUUUCUCCCCUGCUGUAACUCUGUUAUGUUUCUAUAGCAUUUCGAAUUUACUUGCAUUGUUUGAUUUUGUAUCAUUGAUCUCCACUUCAUGCACUCUAAUGUAUUGAUGACAGCUUGAACAGGUUUGGGCACUUAUAAAUUCUGUUUUUUGAGGAUCUAUUAAUUGGCUUGCCCAAACUUUGAAAUUACUGACAGUGGAGUGUCAUGAAGCUAAAUCGAUAUAUAGAGAUUAACUUUAUAAAUUCUUCUCUGAAUUUGAUCUUAUUUGUGAAAAAAUGGCAUUGAAUGAUCUCUCUAUAUCAUUCUAAGAGACAUCCUCAUAUGUGGAGGUCCCCGAGGUCUGCAGUCUCUUAAGACAGCUCCUGCUUGAAGAAUUUGCAAGGUUUAACCAAGAGCUCAAUGUGAAGAGUGAAACACUACAGGGCAUUUCAGUUUGAUUAUUAAUGCUGCAGUAUAUAGGUACUGCGUUUGCAUGACAACAUGGUGAAGGUGUAUUAAGAGGUUAAGCCUAACCAUGAUGAUCACAAGUUCAUAUUCUGUAUGUUAACACUGGACAGGAAGAUUACUAGUCCAAAAACAAGGAAUCGUUCAUUGCUGAGAACAUAGGAAUCGUGAACGACAGUUGCAUUUACCUUUUGUAGCCCACUGUCCAAGAGCUGAUACGAUAUAAUAUUUGGACAUCCGACUCCCGGAGCCCAUCCUACUUGAGUUCACUACGGGGAAACAAAAAGGAAAUGAAGAUUAAUAUAGUUGUUAUUCCAUUAGUGUUAUUUUGUUCACAAGGGAUUCUUGCAGGCUAAUUUCCAGAAUCCAUCCUUUGUUUAAGCAGAUUUAGCUUGAGUUGCACUCCGCUAUGCGGGCAUCGAGUUCGUAUAAUCUGUGAGUGAAUUGCAUGCACGCAUUGGCAAAGUUGACUAAUAAAGCAGACGCAGUAGCACAGAGAGGUAGAAAGAAAGAUUUGCUGUAUGGAUUACCAAAGGUAAUCAAAUGGCUAGCAUUUCUGAGACAAUAAACCACUUGCAAAUCAAAUUAACCGAAACGCCACUUACAUGAGUGCAAUGAAGGGCUUAUUUUACUCAUUUUUUAGAA
Long non-coding RNA from Populus nigra (black poplar), 2523 nucleotides. RefSeq lists it as uncharacterized. The transcript is spliced from 2 exons. The record is from RefSeq and is a predicted model, not a curated record. NCBI's taxonomy places the organism in Eukaryota, Viridiplantae, Streptophyta, Magnoliopsida, Malpighiales, Salicaceae.